Acinonyx jubatus (cheetah) is the source of this 1965-nucleotide long non-coding RNA. RefSeq lists it as uncharacterized. NCBI's taxonomy places the organism in Eukaryota, Metazoa, Chordata, Mammalia, Carnivora, Felidae. The transcript has 3 exons. The record is from RefSeq and is a predicted model, not a curated record.
CUCAGCAGACAAUGGGCACUUCACAGCGGGAUGUCGCUGCUGGCCCAGGGCCAGCCACUGGGAAGGAGGCCUUGUCAGGCCCAAGCCUGAAUCUCACCUCAGGUGCAGCCCAGAGGUACCCAUGUUUGACUCUGUGGGCUGUGUGCCCACCCACCCAGCUACCAGGCAAGGCCCACACUUCCGCUGGGUGGUCUACGCUGCAGGGUGGUGGCAUUAAAUGACAGUUUUGAGGAGGGGGUCAGCACGGCUGGAUGCUUGGACGCCAGCUGCCCGACCAGCAGUCUCUGUGCCCAACCCUCGCUCCUUACACAUCGCUAUUGGUGCCCCAGGCCCUGUACGCACUAGCCUGUCUGAGCUCCUCCACUGGGAAGGCUGAGGAUAUCCCGAGUCAGGACGGCUCCAAGUCCCCCUCUUUUUGGUCAGGCCCUGAGAGGAAAGGAGAGCUGGGGGAUCCAGGGAGCCACCCAAGUGUGGACAGUGCGUGGUGAGUCAGGAGAGUCAGGAGUCCCAGCACCCACAGAGAUGCUGCAAGGGCAUAACCAGCCCUACAGGAGUAUGUCCGGCCCGGCACAGCUCGGGGAGGCCCAGUGAAGACAGACGGAGAGGACACGACAGUUCCAAAACAACCUUUUUUUUCCAUUUCCAGUCUGCAGGGGCUGGGGCUCUUCUCUGGGUGGGGAGCCAGGGGGUGGGUGGGUCUGGAAAAAGCCAAGAGCUGUUUUCACUGGCUUAGCCCUGCCGAAGUAGAGACAUCCCAGGGAAGUAACAGGAGAGCCAGCCGUCCAUUUCAGCUAGCAAAGCCCACUCCUGGGACUACCCCAGCGAAGGUACACUAAAAUCAAAGCCAAAGCCAGCAGGUGCCCCGGAAGCACUGGACUUCCUGCCAAGGACUCCCUAGGUGGGAACAGGACUGCACGGUGGGGGGGGUCAUCCCCCACCUGGGCAGACUCCCUCCCCCACAGCUGUGGAAGGGAAGAAGGGAGAAUAGGGCAGGCAACCUCCAGUCUGGGCCUGCCUUCUCUCAGCCCUCUUGGCUGACCUGCCUGGGGGAGGGGCUCAGGAGGACACUGGGUGGGGUCUGCAGGGGGUGGGGUGAGAACCCAGUCUAGAAGAGAGCAGGAGAGGAACAGGGAGAAGCUACCUCCCACUUCAGCAGGGAGGAAUGUGGGGGGAGUAGGGUAUGAAUGGGGGGGGGGGGCGGAAUGCAAAAGCUAACUGCCCAGAACCCUCCCCUGAACACCUACCUGCCCCCACACUGUAGAGAGCUGGUCUCCGUCUGGGGGUGUCUCCACCCACACCCAGCUCCAAGGCCUGUAGUGCCUGAAAGAAGUCAGAGGGCCCAGGACCCAUUGCCUCUCCAACUGGACCGAUAGCACUGCCCUCCUUAAGGCCCUAGACAGCUGGCCUGGCAGGGAGGAAGGGACGGUGCUCACUAGAAUCAGGCCUGCCAGGUUGGGCUGGGGAUUUCUGCUGCCAGGACCCCCUUCAGGGCUGGGCAGGGCUGGGCUGGGCCAAUGCCAGACUCACUCUGACCCUGUCCCUGUGCCAGGGCCCCAGAAGGGCAGACAACACUUCCUUUCUCUGCUCUUGGCUCCUAGUGGGGAGGCAAGGGCCCCAGGACUUCAGACAGGCCUAUGUCCCUCCCCGGGGCUACAGGAGAAGCCCCAGGACCAGUCUUCUUGAGGCAAGGGUGGGGAGAGUAGUGGGUGUGUGUGGGUAGUGUCCAGGCCCGGGCAAGGUGGCCGAGCACCGGGGGAAAUGCCUGCUCAGCUGCCAGCCUGGGCAGGCUCGCGGUGCGUGGGCAGCUGGCACUGGAAGAGGCCGGGCUACUUCCCUGACAGAGCAGGGGGCAGGGGUCUCCCUCUGGCAGAGGCUGCCCCGGAGCAGCAGGCCUCCCUCACCCAAAGGUGGCGCACAGGGAGGGACACAUACCUGUCUCAGUUAUGCCAGGAAUGUGGUUCCCCA